GGAAUAUUGGACAAUGGGCGAAAGCCUGAUCCAGCCAUGCCGCGUGCAGGAUGACGGUCCUAUGGAUUGUAAACUGCUUUUAUACGAGAAGAAACACUCCUUCGUGAAGGAGCUUGACGGUAUCGUAAGAAUAAGGAACGGCUCACUCCGUUCCCGCAGCCGCGGUAAUACGGAGGAUCCAAGCGUUAGCCGGAAUCAUUGGGUUUAAAGGGUCCGUAGGCGGUUUGGUAAGUCAGUGGUGAAAGCCCAUCGCUCAACGGUGGAACGGCCAUUGAUACUGCCAGACUUGAAGUAUUAGGAAGUAACUAGAAUAUGUAGUGUAGCGGUGAAAUGCUUAGAGAUUACAUGGAAUACCAAUUGCGAAGGCAGGUUACUACUAAUGGAUUGACGCUGAUGGACGAAAGCGUGGGUAGCGA
RNAcentral lists this ribosomal RNA (416 nucleotides) under uncultured bacterium. RNAcentral describes it as "bacterial SSU rRNA". It matches the Rfam family "Bacterial small subunit ribosomal RNA", at positions 358 to 771 of the family's 1533-position model. The record is from RNAcentral.